RNAcentral lists this transfer RNA (88 nucleotides) under Caballeronia hypogeia. RNAcentral's name for it is "tRNA-Glu". Lineage: Bacteria; Pseudomonadati; Pseudomonadota; Betaproteobacteria; Burkholderiales; Burkholderiaceae. The record is from RNAcentral.
AGCUGCCGCGCAUCGAGGGACGCGGCGGUCUCGUCGCCGUCGAUGCGAAGGGCAACGUCGUGCUUCCGUUCAACACGGAAGGCAUGUA